GGAAACCUAACUGCAGGAAGACCUUCCCCGGCUGACAAGAUAUGUGAAGAUUUACACCAUCUAAAAACCAGAAGGUUGAUCAGGCAAGACCUGCCUUGGUGAAGCUAUGCUGGUUAUUCCAUAUCACUUCUUGCUCUUCCAUAUGCUUUAUCAUAACUUCCAGGAGAACCUUCCUCAUGAUCUUCCCAGGCACUGAGUCACAAUGGGUUUCCCCUGACCACCGUGACUUUUCAAAUAUCAUCACAAGCAGCUUGGCAACUAAAUGAACAAAUUCCCCUCAGGACUCUGGAAUGUGUCUCAUUGGGAACCAUAAGACUAAUAGAUAUAUAAUUAUUUGAAAAACUUAAUUGCUAGUUAAUUUUUCUAAAGCUAAAAGUGAUUCAGUUUAUCUUACAAUGAAUAGACUAUGUGCUGGUUUUUUUUUUUUUGUUGUUGUUGUUGUUGUUUGUUUGAUGUGUGUGUUUGUUUGUUUUGCUUUUUCUAUUUCCAUUAUUGAACUGU
Molecule: long non-coding RNA, 501 nt
Organism: Tympanuchus pallidicinctus (lesser prairie-chicken)
Lineage: Eukaryota; Metazoa; Chordata; Aves; Galliformes; Phasianidae
Exons: 3
Source: RefSeq, a predicted model, not a curated record